Molecule: long non-coding RNA, 138 nt
Organism: Melitaea cinxia (Glanville fritillary)
Lineage: Eukaryota; Metazoa; Arthropoda; Insecta; Lepidoptera; Nymphalidae
Exons: 2
Source: RefSeq, a predicted model, not a curated record
UUUUUCCUUGUAUUUUUAUAAAAUUUUUGUCAUAUUUAUAAGGUCUAAGGUAUUAGGCAUGGUUAUUUGGUAUUUAGAAUGUAUAAUGUGUUCGUGGCUAAGCCAUAGGCUUAGAUAAAUAAAAAUGCCUUUCUUGUA